This 468-nucleotide ribosomal RNA is filed under the name uncultured bacterium. RNAcentral describes it as "partial 16S ribosomal RNA". It matches the Rfam family "Bacterial small subunit ribosomal RNA", at positions 28 to 507 of the family's 1533-position model. The record is from RNAcentral.
GACGAACGCUGGCGGCGUGCUUAACACAUGCAAGUCGAACGGAAAGGCCCUGCUUUUGUGGGGUGCUCGAGUGGCGAACGGGUGAGUAACACGUGAGUAAACUGCCCUUGACUUUGGGAUAACUUCAGGAAACUGGGGCUAAUACCGGAUAGGAGCUCCUGCUGCAUGGUGGGGGUUGGAAAGUUUCGGCGGUUGGGGAUGGACUCGCGGCUUAUCAGCUUGUUGGUGGGGUAGUGGCUUACCAGGGCUUUGACGGGUAGCCGGCCUGAGAGGGUGAACGGCGACAUUGGGACUGCGAUACGGCGCAGAAUCCUACGGGAGGCAGUAGUGGGGAAUAUUGCAGAAUGGGCGGACGCCUGAUGCAGCAAUGCUGCGUGCGGGAUGACGGCCUUCGGGUUGUAAACCGAUUUCGACUGUGACGAAGCGUGAGUGACGGUAAUGGGUAAAGAAGCACCGGCUAACUACGUG